Molecule: unclassified non-coding RNA, 324 nt
Filed under: Stylophora pistillata
Lineage: Eukaryota; Metazoa; Cnidaria; Anthozoa; Scleractinia; Pocilloporidae
Description: uncharacterized LOC111326738, transcript variant X1
Source: RNAcentral
UUUCUUUCAAAUGAGAUGGAAAAGAAAUAGCUGGUCUGUACUAUCCAUAAAUACUCUCGUUGAUUUUUUUAAGAACCGACGAUGUGACUUUUGUCGAUAUUACUGACAUUUUUAAUUUCACAGCUUCACAUCGAACGAUUACCUUCCAUCUUCGGGAUUGGCUUUGUGAAAAAUGAACUCGCAAUAUUCAAGCACCGAACUGGCGUUGUGCAACGUUAACAAACGCCGAUAUUAUUGGAAAAUCUUUCGCUAACGUUGCAGAAAUUCACCUUGGAGGACACAUGUGAGGCUUUCCUUUGCCAUUUUAGUUUGUGCCGUGAUAGU